Molecule: long non-coding RNA, 2806 nt
Filed under: Canis lupus familiaris (dog)
Lineage: Eukaryota; Metazoa; Chordata; Mammalia; Carnivora; Canidae
Description: lncRNA (ENSCAFG00000055410.1)
Source: RNAcentral
CCCGAGGCGGGGGGGCGCGCGGCUGGGGCCGCGGCUCCGGGGGCGGGCGGGGCGGGGGGGGGCGCGGGGCUCGGGGCUGCCCCGACGGCCCCGCAGCGCGCGUGAUCCCUGUGCGCCGAGGGGGACCCGUUCCCGGGCGGGCUCCGUGAGAGGCCGGGAGCCCUCGUCUCAACCCUGUCUCCAAACUCCGACCAGAAAAGGAGCAUCCUCCACCCGAGCCGCCCGUCAGCCGCCCCGAACCCCGCAGCGGGCCGAAGUCUGCGAGCGCGGGUCCCGCAGCCCGGCCUCAGCGUGGGGCCGAGGAGCCGCCGCCCGGGCCGCCCGCCCCCGGCGCAGAACCCCGGUGGGCUCCGCUGGCUCCGCGCGGGGGGUGAGGCUGGCGACGCGGGUCGGGACGGAGACCCCCGGCCCAGAACACGCGCGCGGACGAAGCAGCAACAGCGGUACCCGAAGGAUGGAGAAAAGAAAGAAGAGGCGCAGGCGGGUCAGAAUUCAGUCUGAGGCCUGCGUCUCCGUGGCCUCUUGCCCAGCCCGGGGACCCGCGCUCCUUUCGCUCUCCCUGCUCAGGAUCCGGCGGCGGCCUCGUCCGUCAGACAACCCGAGGGCCGCAGGAUGGAGCUGAGAAUCUUCUCUGGCGUUCCGAGCUACGAAGCCUGACAUUUCAGGUCCUCCUGCUCUCCGGGGCAGUAGGUUACCGGGCGAUCGGGCCCGGGGGUCCUCUGGGCUCCGUGCAAGGCCCAGCCCGCCGGCUUCCUCGCACUUGGAUCCCCAGGGGGGUGGGUGCCUUUCUGUGCGACCCCAGGUGUGUUCACAGUGGAACCCACCCCCAAGGAUGGAGCUGAGGUCCCCAGACUGACUGAACCAUUUCUGGAGUUGAAUCUCCCAGGAUUCUGAUUGAAAGGGGGAUCUGGCCACUAUCAUAACCCACACAUUCUCUUAUACUGAGAGAAACACCACAAAAGGGUUCCCCACCCCUGUGGGCCUUGCCCACUGUUAGAGCUCAGCACCCAGCACAGUGGCAGAGAAGAAGGCAGCCAAGAAACAUUUGUGGGUCUGUGGUUGAAGUAGUCUUUAGUGGCAGGUGUAAACCCCAGCUUCUCCACCCCUGAGAGCUCCGGGACUGGAAUCCUCUUGCAUGGCCACAGUUCAAACUCCAAGAGAUGCACGCAGGCUGAUCUCCUGGUAAGAACCUUAGGCUGAGUGGUUAGCACCCCUAACCUGCUGACAGCACAGCCCAACAUGCACAAAUGCUUUCCUUUUACUGGCCUCAGCUUCCCUUGCUUAUAGGUAAACCCAUGUGAGCCUGACACUUUUAUACUCCCUGCAAAACGCUGUUUUGACAAUGAUCUUUGCAGUAGUCAGGACAAGAGGAAUCCCAUCUCAGAGAUAAAGGAUAUAUUGUUAGCACAGCCAGAUUGCAUUCCAUCCACUUAAAAAAAAAAAUCCUAUUUUUAAUUAAAGUAUGGGAUCCCUGUGUGGCGCAGCGGUUUAGCACCUGCCUUUGGCCCAGGGCGCGAUCCUGGAGACCUGGGAUCAAAUCCCACGUCGGGCUCCCGGUGCAUGGAGCCUGCUUCUCCCUCUGCCUGUGUCUCUGCCUCUCUCUCUCUCUCUCUCUUUCUCUAUCUCAUGAAUAAAUAAAAAUUAAAAAAAAUAAAGUAUAGUUGACAUAAUAUGCCAGUUUCAGGUGUAUGACACAGUGAUACAACAAUUUUACACAUUACAAAACCCAUCUACUUUUAAGGUCAGGAGAUGGAAAGAAAAAAAAAAUUGAUGACCAUAAUCUCAGUGCAGUGCUCCAAAGAGAGGUCCCAGGCAAGUCAGAGGUCUAUUACUUUGUGGUUCCCACAGGAUUCUGGAAGAAAAUGGGUGUCAAACCCUUAAGUCCUUUCACAAUGUUGGGCCAUUGCAAACUCGCCCUUGAGAAGGCUGACACUGCACCAGGGUGCAUGGGGCUGUGUGUCACCUUGCUUCUGAAGAGGUAGCUCUGUCUUCUGGGCAGAGCAGAAGGCAGCAGGAAAAAGGACUGCUUCCCAUUUUUCUUUCUUUCUUUCUUUCUUUCUUCUUUCUUUCUUUCUUUCUUUCUUUCUUUCUUUCUUUCUUUCUUUCUUUCUUUUUUUUUUUUUUUAAGGGCUUAAGUGGUAGAGAAUAAAGCCUGUUGCCAUAGUUAUAUAAACAUGAGUAGAUAUUCCUAGGCUGAGGACAGGGGAUGGGGGACAUUCAUUCUUGCUGAAGAAGAAUCAAAUAGUUCAACCUCCUCUCUACUGUCCCCCAAAAGUCAGCCUGGAGGGAGGAUGAGAUUAUCUCUGACAUUGGCUGCAAACACACUUUUCUCAAAGCCAUCCAGAGCUGGGGUGGAACCCUCUGGAAGGCAGCUCAGCAUUUGCCCUCUGCUGGUGGAGAUUCCUGUGUGGGGAGUACUUGUCCUGAGGGAGAGGGUAAAGCUUCUGGAAAUGGUGUCUUAAGGGUAUCAAACUCAUGGGGUUUGCCCAGCCCAGUCAGGGAGGGUGGCCCCCUUUGUCCCAGUGCCAAAGCCUGGAGGUCCUGGCACCAACGACUGAGCUCAAAGGGAGAGGCAGAACCAGUUGUGUCCCAACAGAGCUCGCAUCCUAAACUAAACAAUGGAAACACUGCUGCUUUACUGGCUCUAUUUCCUGUGGCCCCCACCUGGAGGUCCCCACCCAUGGCGUCCCUGCCAGCUCUGGAAGGUGUAUCCCUGGGCGAAGCAGUGCCCAUCUCCACUGGCAGCAGAAGAGCCGAGGAGCUCACACUGACAUGAGGAGAGACACAUGUGGCCACAUGCAGUCUG